Long non-coding RNA from Capsella rubella, 1012 nucleotides. RefSeq lists it as uncharacterized. The transcript has 7 exons. The record is from RefSeq and is a predicted model, not a curated record. NCBI's taxonomy places the organism in Eukaryota, Viridiplantae, Streptophyta, Magnoliopsida, Brassicales, Brassicaceae.
UUUCUUUCUCUCUUUCUCUCCUUUCUCUCUCAAAAUCGAUGGCCAUUAAGAAGGAUUCAUGUCGAAGGGUUGAUUUCAGAGGAGAGUAGCCACCAAACUCGUCUCUUAGCCGUCGUAAUCAUCAUCUCCGGCUGUCGUUGCGAGCUGUUUCCACCGGAGUUAGGGUUCUUUGGCCACAGAAAUCGACAUCUGUUGUGGUGAAAGAAAUCGAGGGUUUUUGUUCUCUGAUGCUCCAAUCACUCUGUAAUGGUUUUUUUACAAUGCCUCAGCUCGUCAGUAGAAUUGGGGUCAUUGGUGUGACCUUAAUGGCUGUCUUAUCUGGAUUUGGAGCUGUAAAUUUACCCUACAGCUAUAUAUCCCUCUUCAUUAGGGAGAUUGAAGAAGCAGAUAUAAUAUCUUUGGAAAGGCAACUGAUGCAGUCAACUGAGACAUGCAUUGCAAAGAAGAAUAAAAUUAUUCUGUGUCAAUUAGAGGUGGAACGAAGUCUAGGAUAGAAGAGCUGCACAUCCAUUUGUGAGCAGAAACCUAUUAAGGCCACUGCUACGGCAUCACCUCCUGAUGUUCAAAGGUCAAGGAGCAGCGGAAAGACAAAGGUCGGGAUCAAUGGGAUAUUUUAUUUCGAUUCUAAUCCUUGGGAAGCUUGUCUCCGCUUCAACGAGCCUCAUCCCCAACCACAUCAUCAACUGGAUCUGCAACUUUAUAUUGUGGAGGAAGAUAUUUCAGCAGAGGAUGUAGUGUGCACUUUACCGCUCAUCGAGCAGUUGGAGCGAGAGUGGCCGGAGACUAUCGUCAUAGAAGAUGACGAUGAGGAUGUUCUAGAUCUUGAACUAAAGCUUUAAAAAUUAAGAGUAUUCUCUCUUUUACCCCGAUAAAUGAAUAAAAAACAAUUAAUUGAAAAAUCGGGUUUUAAGACGAGGAUUUUCUGCAAAUGUUAUCUUUGAAUAAUUUUUAUUUUACCUUUGAAUAAUGUUUAUUCAUUUAUGUAAUAUUUCUCUUUUCAGUUUUUAUUUUA